GGGUUGUGAGGUUAAGCGACUAAGCGUACACGGUGGAUGCCCUGGCAGUCAGAGGCGAUGAAGGACGUGCUAAUCUGCGAUAAGCGUCGGUAAGGUGAUAUGAACCGUUAUAACCGGCGAUUUCCGAAUGGGGAAACCCAGUGUGAUUCGUCACACUAUCAUUAACUGAAUCCAUAGGUUAAUGAGGCGAACCGGGGGAACUGAAACAUCUAAGUACCCCGAGGAAAAGAAAUCAACCGAGAUUCCCCCAGUAGCGGCGAGCGAACGGGGAGCAGCCCAGAGCCUGAAUCAGUGUGUGUGUUAGUGGAAGCGUCUGGAAAGGCGCGCGAUACAGGGUGACAGCCCCGUACACAAAAAUGCACAUACUGUGAGCUCGAUGAGUAGGGCGGGACACGUGGUAUCCUGUCUGAAUAUGGGGGGACCAUCCUCCAAGGCUAAAUACUCCUGACUGACCGAUAGUGAACCAGUACCGUGAGGGAAAGGCGAAAAGAACCCCGGCGAGGGGAGUGAAAAAGAACCUGAAACCGUGUACGUACAAGCAGUGGGAGCACAGAGCAAUCUGUGUGACUGCGUACCUUUUGUAUAAUGGGUCAGCGACUUAUAUUCUGUAGCAAGGUUAACCGAAUAGGGGAGCCGAAGGGAAACCGAGUCUUAACCGGGCGUUAAGUUGCAGGGUAUAGACCCGAAACCCGGUGAUCUAGCCAUGGGCAGGUUGAAGGUUGGGUAACACUAACUGGAGGACCGAACCGACUAAUGUUGAAAAAUUAGCGGAUGACUUGUGGCUGGGGGUGAAAGGCCAAUCAAACCGGGAGAUAGCUGGUUCUCCCCGAAAGCUAUUUAGGUAGCGCCUCGUGAAUUCAUCUCCGGGGGUAGAGCACUGUUUCGGCAAGGGGGUCAUCCCGACUUACCAACCCGAUGCAAACUGCGAAUACCGGAGAAUGUUAUCACGGGAGACACACGGCGGGUGCUAACGUCCGUCGUGAAGAGGGAAACAACCCAGACCGCCAGCUAAGGUCCCAAAGUCAUGGUUAAGUGGGAAACGAUGUGGGAAGGCCCAGACAGCCAGGAUGUUGGCUUAGAAGCAGCCAUCAUUUAAAGAAAGCGUAAUAGCUCACUGGUCGAGUCGGCCUGCGCGGAAGAUGUAACGGGGCUAAACCAUGCACCGAAGCUGCGGCAGCGACACUGUGUGUUGUUGGGUAGGGGAGCGU
RNAcentral lists this ribosomal RNA (1208 nucleotides) under Escherichia coli. RNAcentral describes it as "partial 23S ribosomal RNA". It matches the Rfam family "Bacterial large subunit ribosomal RNA", at positions 1 to 1239 of the family's 2925-position model. The record is from RNAcentral. Lineage: Bacteria; Pseudomonadati; Pseudomonadota; Gammaproteobacteria; Enterobacterales; Enterobacteriaceae.